CACUAUUUUGCUUAUCAAAGUCUCUUAAAGGAGGUGACUUACCUACGCUAUGGACCCAAUUACUCAGCCAAUAAGAGGACACGGUCCCUGCCCAUAGAAAGCUGAUGUCCAGCCUGACCUCAAUACAAAACCAUCCAGUUAAAGUGGUGGGGGUGGCUAUGCAGAGACGGGCGGGUGCCGGGAGAGUCAAGGGCAGCCCCUUGGCUGGCCAGGGGCUCAGACAGACCAGCUGGGGAGAUGCAUCACUCGCCCAGGAAAACUGAUGACAGCUUAGAUGGCACUGCAAGAGCAGGGAGGAUCACACUCAUGUCCAGAAAGUGAAACAUAAAACAGCUAAACAUGUACCACACAGCUUUCAUACAAAAAUUUUAUAUACACAAAUUUUGAAAAAAUAGAGAUGGGGUUUUGCUUGUUGUCCCGGCUGGUUUCGAACUCCUGAACUCAAGUGAUCUGCCUGCCUCAGCUUCCCAAAGUGAUGCAAUUACAGGCAUGUGCCACCAUGCCUGGUGACUUUUUUUCUGUUUUGAGACGGGGUCUCACUCUGUCUCCCAGGCUGGAGUUCAGUGGCAUGAUCAUAGCUCACUGCAGUCUCGACCUCCUAGGCUCAAGUGAUCCUCCCACCUCAGCCUCCUGAGUAGUGGGACCACAGGUGUGCACCACCGUGUCCAGCUAAUUUUUGUAGAGAUGGGGUCUCAUCAUGCUGCCCAGGCUGGUCUCAAACUCCAGGGCUCGAGUGAUCCGCCAUCCUUGGCCUCCCAAAGUGCUGGAUUACAGACCUGAGCCACCACACCAGGCUGCCCCACACAUUGUAAAGUUUCGCUUCCCUCUAAUGUCAGAUUCCAAAGACAGCAGCCUUCAUGAGUCAGAAAGAAACAUCGGUCAUUUUGAAAUCAACAUCCAACUGAAGUGUAGAAAGGCCUCUGGAUUUUUGAAACGGCAACAACAGAUGAUGUAAUACAAAGACGCCCCCACCCCACUGCUUUCCCACUGCAUGCUUUACAUGACAUGGCACAGCUUCCACGCCAGCAGCUUCAAUCAUGUAAAGCGAAUGCAGUCCCAUCAAGACCACAGCAUUGGCUGAGCAGCUACUCCAUGCUGGGCACCGUCCUGGGCACUGGAAGUACAGCAGAGAACGAAACCAAGACCACACCCUCCAGAAGCCUGCAUUCCAGCAGGACAGACAGACUUCCAUACACAGAGCAGGAAAAUGCACAGCGUGUCAGAUGAUGAUGAUUACUAUGAGAAAAAUAAAGCAGGCAAAGAGAACAGGACUAUUUGGAUGAGGGUGGUGCAAAUUCAAAUAAUCAGACAGCCUUUGCUGGGAAGGUGAUAUCUGAGCAAAGAUUCGAGAAGGUGGGGAGAGCCCCGGAGCCUUCCCCGCAGAGCAGAGGAGGCCCGGGAAGCUCUGGACUCAUAGCGGUUCAGCACGGCCACGACACGGCCACUUCCAGACAGAGCCCCUGGCUGCUGGGUAGGGACCGCAGCACCUCAGAGAACCCUUUCUGGGGUCACUUCUGGCACCCUCUGCAAACCUCAAGGGGGAGCGUGAGGCUGGGGGCUGUCCAUCAGGGUCCAGGCACCUCCUGAAGGAACCUCUCAAAGCCAGCCGAUCACCGGCUCCAGACCCACGCUGUCAGACAUCUCUGUGGCCACCAGACCACUGCCACUCUCACGGGUGUGAUGACAUGGGACCUGCCUACUGGUAGUCUUCUGCCUUCGUGGAAUUCUGCAACUUCCUUCCUGCCUCGGCCACAGCAUGUCAGCCAAGCACCUGUCAGGGUCCCUCCCUGGCAGGACGAUGUUUAGAAGCUCAACACCUUGCUCCUGCCUCCUCUUCAGACCCAUCAGAACUUGCUACCAUGGGUGUGUUUUAAUAAAUAACUUCAUUUCUGCAGCAAAUAAAUAAAUAAAUAAAUGUAGUUGCAAUAUUGCCUUUAAAAGCACUUUUAAGCAUCAAUUGUGAAAUAAAAAGCCCGAGCAAAAGCCCUCUUUGAGCGUGAA
This 2001-nucleotide long non-coding RNA is filed under the name Homo sapiens (human). RNAcentral describes it as "novel transcript, antisense to PDPK1". The record is from RNAcentral. Lineage: Eukaryota; Metazoa; Chordata; Mammalia; Primates; Hominidae.